RNAcentral lists this ribosomal RNA (1053 nucleotides) under Andreaea rothii. Its description in RNAcentral is "eukaryotic LSU rRNA". It matches the Rfam family "Eukaryotic large subunit ribosomal RNA", at positions 56 to 1113 of the family's 3401-position model. The record is from RNAcentral. Lineage: Eukaryota; Viridiplantae; Streptophyta; Andreaeopsida; Andreaeales; Andreaeaceae.
AGAAGAAACUAACCAGGAUUUCCCUAGUAACGGCGAGCGAACCGGAAAGAGCCCAGCUUGAAAAUCGUGGGGUUUCCGCCCUGCGAAUUGUAGUCUGGAGAAGCGUCCUCUGCAACGGACCGGACCCAAGUUCCCUGGAACGGGACGUCGGAGAGGGUGAGAGCCCCGUCGAGUUCGGACCCUGUUGCUCCACGAGGCGCUGUCGGCGAGUCGGGCUGUUUGGGAAUGCAGCCCUAAGCGGGUGGUAAAUUCCAUCCAAGGCUAAAUACGGGCAAGAGACCGAUAGCGAACAAGUACCGCGAGGGAAAGAUGAAAAGGACUUUGAAAAGAGAGUUAAAGAGUGCUUGAAAUUGCUGGGAGGGAAGCGAAUGGAAGCUGCGGGUGCGCCUCGGUUGGAUGCGGAACGGCGAGAGCUGGUCCGCCGCUCAACGCGGGUCGCUGGUCAGCGUGGGCCAUCGCGGCGGGACAAGAGCCGGCUUUCGUUGCCGGCCUAUGCCGUUGCGGUGGCCGAGGGACGAAGCGCGCGCCACUCGUGGCGGGCCUCAGGGCACCUGCGCGCUCGGGACGCUGGCGUAUUGAGCUCUCCAUCCGACCCGUCUUGAAACACGGACCAAGGAGUCUAACAUGUAUGCGAGCCGGUGGGCGGCAAACCCAUUGAGGCGCAAGGAACCUGACAGGUGGGAUCCCCUUCGGGGAGCACCAUCGACCGACCGUGAUCUUCUGUGAAAGGUUUGAGUGUGAGCAUACCUGCUGGGACCCGAAAGAUGGUGAACUAUGCCUGAGCAGGGCGAAGCCAGAGGAAACUCUGGUGGAGGCUCGUAGCGAUACUGACGUGCAAAUCGUUCGUCAGACUUGGGUAUAGGGGCGAAAGACUAAUCGAACCAUCUAGUAGCUGGUUCCCUCCGAAGUUUCCCUCAGGAUAGCUGGAGCUCGUGAAGUUUUAUCAGGUAAAGCGAAUGAUUAGAGGCAUCGGGGGUGUAACACCCUCGACCUAUUCUCAAACUUUAAAUAGGUAAGCCGCCAGGGUUGCUUGGAUGAACCCUGGCACAGAAU